Molecule: transfer RNA, 76 nt
Filed under: Alphaproteobacteria bacterium
Lineage: Bacteria; Pseudomonadati; Pseudomonadota; Alphaproteobacteria
Description: tRNA-Lys
Rfam family: tRNA
About the family: Transfer RNA (tRNA) molecules are approximately 80 nucleotides in length. Their secondary structure includes four short double-helical elements and three loops (D, anti-codon, and T loops).
Source: RNAcentral
GGGCGCGUAGCUCAGUCGGUAGAGCAUUCGACUUUUAAUCGAAUGGUCACAGGUUCGAUCCCUGUCGCGCCCACCA